This 254-nucleotide ribosomal RNA is filed under the name uncultured bacterium. RNAcentral's name for it is "partial 16S ribosomal RNA". It matches the Rfam family "Bacterial small subunit ribosomal RNA", at positions 524 to 776 of the family's 1533-position model. The record is from RNAcentral.
UACGGGGGGGGCAAGCGUUGUUCGGAAUUACUGGGCGUAAAGGGCUCGUAGGCGGCCAACUAAGUCAGACGUGAAAUCCCUCGGCUUAACUGGGGAACUGCGUCUGAUACUGGAUGGCUUGAGUUUGGGAGAGGGAUGCGGAAUUCCAGGUGUAGCGGUGAAAUGCGUAGAUAUCUGGAGGAACACCGGUGGCGAAGGCGGCAUCCUGGACCAACACUGACGCUGAGUGAGCGAAAGCCAGGGGAGCAAACGGG